RNAcentral lists this long non-coding RNA (256 nucleotides) under Elaeis guineensis (African oil palm). RNAcentral's name for it is "long non-coding RNA (EGUI_LNC047017)". The record is from RNAcentral. Lineage: Eukaryota; Viridiplantae; Streptophyta; Magnoliopsida; Arecales; Arecaceae.
UACCUUGACCUAAUAAAAUUAGGUUCAAUCUUUGAUUUUUUAUUUUGAUUAACCCAUCCAUUUGAAAGUGUUUCAUUUAGAUUUACCCAUCUCCACACCAAACCAAAUGCAAAGAAUAAAUGCCAUGCCCCAUUUAUUUAGACGUUUAAGAGGAGAAGUUCUUCUCUUUUACUCUGCUUAAAUUUCCUUCUUUAUUUCCAUGCAUUUUUAAUUUCUCGUGUCAUCUGAUGACCCUUGGGAAUUAUGGGUGUAGAAG